Molecule: ribosomal RNA, 590 nt
Filed under: Limosilactobacillus reuteri
Lineage: Bacteria; Bacillati; Bacillota; Bacilli; Lactobacillales; Lactobacillaceae
Description: bacterial SSU rRNA
Rfam family: Bacterial small subunit ribosomal RNA
Source: RNAcentral
CCUUCUUUAAUUGCUCCUCCCCCCAGGCUUCCUACGGGGAAGCAGCAGUAGGGAAUCUUCCACAAUGGGCGCAAGCCUGAUGGAGCAACACCGCGUGAGUGAAGAAGGGUUUCGGCUCGUAAAGCUCUGUUGUUGGAGAAGAACGUGCGUGAGAGUAACUGUUCACGCAGUGACGGUAUCCAACCAGAAAGUCACGGCUAACUACGUGCCAGCAGCCGCGGUAAUACGUAGGUGGCAAGCGUUAUCCGGAUUUAUUGGGCGUAAAGCGAGCGCAGGCGGUUGCUUAGGUCUGAUGUGAAAGCCUUCGGCUUAACCGAAGAAGUGCAUCGGAAACCGGGCGACUUGAGUGCAGAAGAGGACAGUGGAACUCCAUGUGUAGCGGUGGAAUGCGUAGAUAUAUGGAAGAACACCAGUGGCGAAGGCGGCUGUCUGGUCUGCAACUGACGCUGAGGCUCGAAAGCAUGGGUAGCGAACAGGAUUAGAUACCCUGGUAGUCCAUGCCGUAAACGAUGAGUGCUAGGUGUUGGAGGGUUUCCGCCCUUCAGUGCCGGAGCUAACGCAUUAAGCACUCCGCCCUGGGGAGAAACCCC